Molecule: ribosomal RNA, 428 nt
Filed under: Flavobacterium sp.
Lineage: Bacteria; Pseudomonadati; Bacteroidota; Flavobacteriia; Flavobacteriales; Flavobacteriaceae
Description: bacterial SSU rRNA
Rfam family: Bacterial small subunit ribosomal RNA
Source: RNAcentral
UGCUGUUUAUACAGGAAGAAACACUACUUCGUGAAGUAGCUUGACGGUACUGUAAGAAUAAGGAUCGGCUAACUCCGUGCCAGCAGCCGCGGUAAUACGGAGGAUCCAAGCGUUAUCCGGAAUCAUUGGGUUUAAAGGGUCCGUAGGCGGUUUAGUAAGUCAGUGGUGAAAGCCCAUCGCUCAACGGUGGAACGGCCAUUGAUACUGCUAAACUUGAAUUAUUAGGAAGUAACUAGAAUAUGUAGUGUAGCGGUGAAAUGCUUAGAGAUUACAUGGAAUACCAAUUGCGAAGGCAGGUUACUACUAAUUGAUUGACGCUGAUGGACGAAAGCGUGGGUAGCGAACAGGAUUAGAUACCCUGGUAGUCCACGCCGUAGACGAUGGAUACUAGCUGUUGGGAGCAAUCUCAGUGGCUAAGCGAAAGUGAU